ACAAACAAUGAGAAUUCUUAAGGGCUUGUUCAAUCCAGGCAGCUAAAGAGGAAAUUUGAACUGAAAGGAUGGAUAGAGACUUAGACCAUAUGGUGCAAAUGGGAAUUUGUGUGGAACAGAAAGUAAUGACCCAUUCACAUACACAGAGAGGCAACUCAGAAGGCUAAAUUUACAGUUCCUCAGGAAAGCUUAAUGCAAAUGAACUGCCCCUCAGCAGAUAAAAAUCAGAUAUAUCUGCAUAAUGGAGAGAUUUUGAGUUCAAGCCUACUUUCAUUGAAGUCAGUGGCAAACUCCCAUGGAGUGAGAGUACUGAUCAGUAAUUUAAGGUUAAAAACUUUACAGAGCUGUUCUGGUUAUUCCAAAACCAAGCAUAACAAACCCAGAAAACUCACAGUUAAGGUUAUACUUAAAAGAAACCCAAAUAUGUUAAGUAUGAGAGUGCACAAUUAAGGCACCCGAACAACCUUCACGUUGCAAUAUAAUGAUGUCAAGCAAAUAAAGGAGAAGCAAUUUCAUGGCAAAGACUAUAUGUGGAUUUCGGGUUGCAUCCUGUUAGCUAUAAACAAAUGGUCACCCCUCCCCCACAAAAUGUGAGGGUCCACUGUGCCACAGCACAAGUACUUUUGUGGGUUUGCUGCAAGGAAUUCCUCUAUUAGAGAUCUGCAGGUAGCAACAUGGGGCUCUGUAGGUAUUUUUACUAAGCACUACUCACUUAUGCAAGCUUCAUCCAUGGAGGUUUCCUCUGGAACAGCAGGCCUGUGAUCUGUGGUGCAGCAUAAUUCCUCACACCCUCCUCCUAAAUGUGAUGCUGUUUGUGAGUCACACACAGUGACUACUCAUAGGGACCUGCACUUGAAGAAGAAAGAAAGGUUACUUACUUUAUAGUAUCUGGAGUUCUUCCAGAUGUGUGGUCCCUAUAUGUGUUCCAUGACCCACUCUCCUUCCUCUCUGCUUUGGAACCUUACCAUAAGGCACAGUACUGUAAGAACUGGAGAGGCAGGCAGGCAGUCCGUGCCACUUCUUUUGUCCCCCGUUUGGAACAUGAGCAGGCACAGGCCAGCAGACACUGCUCAGGCACAUGGAGCACACCCAUAGUGAAUGUGGAAUGGGACCACACAUCUCUUUAGUAAUUCCAGUUACUAAAAGGUGAGUAACCUUUCUUUAUGGAAAACAUCUUCUUAUUCAGAAUAUCUGUGCCUUGUUUAUCUUUGACAUCUGUCAGUUUAAUUUGAUGGGGAAAAAUAUUUUUACCACUCUGUGCGUUACAGAGCUAAUAAAGCUAUGGAAGAGCGAACAUGGUUCUGGAAAGCCUCAGAUAACAUCCAGAAAUCUGCAGCUGAGCUGAUAUUGCAGUAUUUUUACUAAUGGUGAUAACUGUAGAGGCAGAAAAAACAUAACCUGAUUUUUAAGUGUCAGGUUGAAUUUGGGAAAAAAAUUGAAUGUUUGAUUUUUAAAUUGAGCAGAUGAGAUAGAGCAAGACUAGUCCUGGAACCCCACCAUUAUUUGGCAGGGUUUUAUGGGCAUUUAUAUGUACUUUAAAUACCAUAGAGUUAUUUCAGUCAGUGUAGAAUAUAAGUGAAGGUUCUGUCCAGUUAAAAUAUUAAACAAGUGACAACAUAGUCAUGUGGUUAUUUGGAAGUGUCAUGUCAAUAAAAUCUAUUUCUAUUUAAAAAAUAAUAUGUACUACUAAUAAUACCAUUAAAGUUACCUGUUAUAAAUAUCAAUAAACUUUUUUUUAUUUCAAAAUGUUCUUGAAAAGGAAUUGUUCAAUACCUCUCUCUUUCAGGGCUGGUUCCCUGCCACAGCCAAUGCAGCAACCCUACUACACUGUAAUGAAACAUCACCAGGUUCACCAUGGGCCUGGUGAUUUGGGCUGCUGCUGGACGGAGCAGAGCUGGUGACCCAUGGCAGAGAACUUAGGGAAGGGGCUCUGGAACACCAAAAGUUAUGGUGGCCGCACUUGUAGCUGCGUUGUGGUGACCAUAUGCGGUUACCAUGGCCACACUUGAGAAUCACUGCUAUAGAGCAACAGCAUCAGUAACAGAACUAAGAAAUAAUGAGCUACAGAGUAAAAGAGUCAUCCCUUGUACUGCAAGUUAAAAAAAAAAUCCAAGGCACAAGUUCUUAUUAAAAAUAAGAAACAAGUUGGGGGUAGUUGUAAAAGGUCACUAAGGACCUGCUCCGUCCACAUUUAAGUUAACAGGUGCUUUGCUAGUGAUUUUAAGGGAGCAAGAAUGGGACGUGAAUGAUACAAAAAAGGCAGUAAUUUUAGCGAAUCAUUUAUAAAUUAAAUUCAAAAAAGUAAUUUAAAUCAUAUUUCUGAUACAAAAAUUAUCCAAAGCUGGGACAUUUGAAGGGAAGGCUUGACCAUCCAUCCUUGAAAUUUGAGCUUUAUCUAAUAAUUGUGAACCACAGUCUUAAACUUGUUUACAUCUGUUCUCUUGUUUACUUAACAAUAGAAAUAACCUUUUAUAGAAUAGUUUAAAAGUUACUUUAUUUAUGUGUUCCAUGUAUAUUUGCAUUUGGUGUCAAAUCAAUUUGUCUCCCUCACCUGGAGUUGUAUGAUGACAUUACUGGUAUCUGCUGUGGGGGAGAGAGAUUAAAUGCAGGAGAUAAUUUUUAAACAAUUUAUAACUUAGUUAUUUUAAAAAAAGUGUGUGUGUGCAUGGGGUGAGGGGAGAAAUGAGGAAGACCACAUUAUGGGAACAGAGCCUUAUCUGUAUAUGCUGGGCUCAUUUAUUAAGAUGUAUUUAAAAUUGUACCUAUCCCUAACUCUGGUACAUGAACAAAAUUUUGUUCCAAACACAUACAAAUCCAAAUUGGAUUUUCACCAAUGAAAGACCUUCCCUAACCUACCCAAAUUGAAACCCAUCUUUCUCAUUAACUUCCCACUGUCAGCCUUUUCCCCACAGAGCCUAGGGGUCUUGUCUUCACAAACAUUUAGUUCACAGCAACAAGCUGGGGUGUGAAUCUACCCCCACUAGUCUGCCACAGUCUAACUGUUCAUGUGGACCCUGCUGACAUGCAUUAACAAUCUGCUAAUGUGCUUUGAUCUAGACCUGUGUCAAAGAAGACUAGAUCAAAGUGCUCUAAAUCUCCCUCCUCAUUAACUUCCCACAGCCUUCCUGUACAAAGCCUAGGUAAAUAGAUAGGCAUUACAAGAAAAUAAGUUUCAGAGAUAAGGGAUCCCCUCACUGAGAACACCUUGUCCUCAACUUCCUCAGGUGUAAACUCAGCUGAUUUCAACUUCUGUGGUAUUGCACAAGCAGCCUGAUGGUUUCUAAAAUAAGCAAGGCCUGACCUUUUUAUAGAUUCAGACCAGCCCCUUGAAUUGCAACCAGAAAUGUAUGGGAAGCCAGUGCAGGUCAAGGGGCACAGGUAUAACACACUGCCUGAGGGAAGUACUGUUGAAGAAGCAGGGAGCUGUUUUCUGUACUUCCUGACGUUUCUGACUGGUCUGCAAGUGUAGUGCCAUGGAGAACACAUUGCAAUAGGCCUUGGAGUUGACAAAAGACAUAAGCAAAGGGGGGGUGAGAGGGGGAGUGUGCAUCUAGAAAAACAAGUAAUAAAUGGAAAAGGUCACUGUUGGCUACUGCCCCUUCCCACCGGCCCCUGAGAUUAAUUAGACAUUGGGACAACCAAUCAACUUCAACAUCUGUAUCUCAUAACUAGAAAGGUCAGUCAGAGGUGGUUGUUCAAGAGCAAUGGGGGAAACUUUUUUGGCAUUUGGGACCUAAAUUUGCACCUUCUGUGUGGCAGUGCAUUGCCUUGCCACUAAACUACUGGCUAGUUUCUUUUUGAUGCCUGUUCUAAUAAUCCUUUAACUAUAGUGUACUAUAUGUGUACAUGAUAUGUAUGGAUGCAUAAACAUAUAGUUAUAGUUAGGCAUGGAAGGAUUAGAUUUUUAUUGGUAAAUGUCAAUUUCACCAUAGGCACACAAGCUAAAAAAUAUUUUCAUUUAGUCUCAAUUUACAGAUAGGCAAAAUAAGAAAGCUACUGCUUAAAAACUUAUUAGAGUUUGAUUUAAGAAUAUUUAAUCAUAGAAUAUCAGGGUUGGAAGGGACCUCAAGAGGUCAUCUAGUCCAAUCCCCUGCUCAAAGCAGGACCAAUCCCCAAUUAAAUCAUCCCAGCCAAGGCUUGGUCAAGCCUGACCUUAAAAACCUCUAAGGAAGGAGAUUUCACCACCUCCCUAAGUAACCCAUUCCAGUGCUUCACCACCCUCCUAGUGAAAAAGUUUUUCCUAAUAUUCAACCUAAACCUCCCCCUCUGCAACUUGAGACCAUUACUCCUUGUUCUGCCAUCUGGUGCCACUGAGAACAGUCUAGAUCCAUCCUCUUUGGAACCCCCUUUCAGGUAGUUGAAAGCAGCUAUCAAAUCCCCCAGAGCAGAUAUUAUAAUUUUAAUUGAAUAGAAGAUCAUAGGGCAGUUUGGUUUAGAAUUGUCCAGAGGUGGAGUAAUUUCAGAGUAGGAUUUUUCCUCGACUCUUAUCAGUUGUUAAGCUACCGUUAUUAUAAUUAUCUGCAUUAUGUUUUCUAUUAAACCUGAAAAAUAGCCACUC
This is a long non-coding RNA of Gopherus flavomarginatus (Mexican gopher tortoise), 4558 nucleotides long. RefSeq lists it as uncharacterized. The transcript is spliced from 2 exons. The record is from RefSeq and is a predicted model, not a curated record. NCBI's taxonomy places the organism in Eukaryota, Metazoa, Chordata, Testudines, Testudinidae.